ACUAUUUUGGCAGAUAAGUGCGGUGGAUUUAGAAUCUAUUUAUGUGAAUUUGUUUACACAUUUAGUA
This 67-nucleotide transfer RNA is filed under the name Neotermes sp. A TB-2014. RNAcentral's name for it is "tRNA-Leu". The record is from RNAcentral. Lineage: Eukaryota; Metazoa; Arthropoda; Insecta; Blattodea; Kalotermitidae.